GACGAACGCUGGCGGCGUGCCUAAUACAUGCAAGUUGAGCGCUGAAGGUUGGUACUUGUACCAACUGGAUGAGCAGCGAACGGGUGAGUAACGCGUGGGGAAUCUGCCUUUGAGCGGGGGACAACAUUUGGAAACGAAUGCUAAUACCGCAUAAAAACUUUAAACACAAGUUUUAAGUUUGAAAGAUGCAAUUGCAUCACUCAAAGAUGAUCCCGCGUUGUAUUAGCUAGUUGGUGAGGUAAAGGCUCACCAAGGCGAGGAUACAUAGCCGACCUGAGAGGGUGAUAGGCCACAUUGGGACUGAGACACGGCCCAAACUACUACGGGAGGCAGCAGUAGGGAAUCUUCGGCAAUGGACGAAAGUCUGACCGAGCAACGCCGCGUGAGUGAAGAAGGUUGUCGGAUCGUAAAAGUCUGUUGGUAGAGAAGAACGUUGGUGAGAGUGGAAAGCGCAUCAAGUGACGGUAACUACACAGAAAGCGCCGGCUAACUACGUG
RNAcentral lists this ribosomal RNA (497 nucleotides) under uncultured bacterium. RNAcentral describes it as "partial 16S ribosomal RNA". It matches the Rfam family "Bacterial small subunit ribosomal RNA", at positions 28 to 507 of the family's 1533-position model. The record is from RNAcentral.